UUAAUGAAAUGGGCUGUGAAAUGUGUGCA
RNAcentral lists this non-coding RNA (29 nucleotides) under Rattus norvegicus (Norway rat). Lineage: Eukaryota; Metazoa; Chordata; Mammalia; Rodentia; Muridae. The record is from RNAcentral.